UUUUAUAGUUGCCAACGACGAAAACUACGCACUAGCGGCCUAAAAAACCCGCUUACGUCCAUGAUUCGUUUCUUGCUAGGAGAANUGGACGGCAAAGCAGCAAGAUCGCGCGGAUGUCUCGCCCGGGGCUGAACCGUUAAAACCAAUCGGGAUCGCUGAAAGUACCCUGACCGUCGGGUCACUGGAGGCUAAAUCAAUAGACGGACUCUAAGCAUGUAGAGCCAAUAGCGGCGAAUCAGCGGACGCGGGUUCAACUCCCGCCGCCUCCACCA
RNAcentral lists this transfer-messenger RNA (272 nucleotides) under Gammaproteobacteria bacterium TMED30. RNAcentral describes it as "partial transfer-messenger RNA". It matches the Rfam family "transfer-messenger RNA", at positions 82 to 374 of the family's 374-position model. Rfam says of the family: Bacterial tmRNA, also known as 10Sa RNA or SsrA, is named for its dual tRNA and mRNA-like properties. Its role is to liberate the mRNA from a stalled ribosome. To accomplish this part of the tmRNA is used as a reading frame that ends in a translation stop signal. Lineage: Bacteria; Pseudomonadati; Pseudomonadota; Gammaproteobacteria. The record is from RNAcentral.